AUAAUGACAGUAAUUCGCAUCACUAACCUUCCCUGAAAGCUUACUACAUGUCAGGAAGUGCUAUUCUAAAAGGGCUUCACAUGUAUUCAUUCAUUUCAUCCUCCUGACAAUCCUGUGAUACAGGUGUUUUUGUUAUGAGUCCUAUUUCAACAAAGCACAAGUGAAUACAAGAUAAGAUCUCACUAUAUUGCCCUGGCUGGUCUCAAACUCCCGUGUUCAAGUCAUCUGCCUGCCUCGACCUCCUAAAGGGCAAGCGGGAUUACAGCCUUCUCCACAGCCCAGCCACAGUGAGGGAGUCAUCAGCACUGGAACCCGGGGUCCACGGCCUUGGAGGAUCCGGACCCUCCGCAUUUGAGGAACUUGGCCUUCAGUCAGGGAGCCAAGAAGUCCCUGCCAAUCAAGGAGGGGGUGUGGGCUGGUGGGGGGGGGGCAGCCUUGGGGCACGGGAGCUGAUAGACCAGACUCAAGAGUUCUACUCCUGACUUCUAGAUUGUUCCACCUCCAUAUGGAAUAUGUUCCUUCCAUCUAACACUGUGUGAUUUGGGGACCAUCCAACUCAAAUGAAAGAAGCCAAGCCAUGCAGCGAGCCACCCCCUCCCCAAUGUGGGGUACCCCCUGCCCCCGCCCAGCUCCCCUGCCCUCCCAGCUGAGGGGGGAUCGCCGCCUGGUGAUCUCAGCCUCCCCUCCAAGUGGGCUGUGAAGUGUCUAAUCCAGGCUUUCAUCUGGCAUCCACAAUUAUAAUGUCAAGAUUGAAUAAUCUGCCUUUAUCUCCCGGGUGACAGCCAUGUAGAAACUUCAAAAGAAACAGUUUUGCUGGCAUCUAACGGCUUUUGUUAAUUACUAUAUCCCAAAGAAAAUGAAAUAAAGGAGGGAGAAAAAUGAUAUUUCUCUGUGACAACUUUGUAAAAAUAUCAGUGAUGAAGUGGUGCGGUUUAAGGGCUUUAAGUAUUCAUGCGGCUGAGAUGGGGCCUCUACCCUCCCGCUGGGAAGCUUAAGCGUGCCCGAGGGUGCAUGCACACACACACUCACACACUC
Molecule: long non-coding RNA, 1035 nt
Filed under: Homo sapiens (human)
Lineage: Eukaryota; Metazoa; Chordata; Mammalia; Primates; Hominidae
Description: HSALNT0164914
Source: RNAcentral